UGACAGGUGCUGCAUGGCUGUCGUCAGCUCGUGUCGUGAGAUGUUGGGUUAAGUCCCGCAACGAGCGCAACCCUUGUCUUUAAUUGCCAUCAUUUAGUUGGGCACUUUAAAGAGACUGCCGGUGUUAAGCCGGAGGAAGUGGGGAUGACGUCAAGUCCUCAUGGCCUUUAUGCCCAGGGCUACACACGUGCUACAAUGGGCGGUACAAAGAGAAGCAACCUCGCGAGGGUGAGCAAAUCUCAAAAAGCCGUUCUCAGUUCGGAUUGAAGUCUGCAACUCGACUUCAUGAAGUCGGAAUCGCUAGUAAUCGCGGAUCAGCAUGCCCGCGGUUCCGAAUACGUUCCGGCCUU
Molecule: ribosomal RNA, 350 nt
Filed under: uncultured Syntrophaceae bacterium
Lineage: Bacteria; Pseudomonadati; Thermodesulfobacteriota; Syntrophia; Syntrophales; Syntrophaceae
Description: bacterial SSU rRNA
Rfam family: Bacterial small subunit ribosomal RNA
Source: RNAcentral